RNAcentral lists this ribosomal RNA (253 nucleotides) under uncultured bacterium. RNAcentral's name for it is "partial 16S ribosomal RNA". It matches the Rfam family "Bacterial small subunit ribosomal RNA", at positions 524 to 776 of the family's 1533-position model. The record is from RNAcentral.
UACGGAGGGUGCGAGCGUUGUUCGGAUUCAUUGGGCGUAAAGGGUGUGUAGGUGGCGCCGUAAGUCGGGUGUGAAAUUUCGGAGCUUAACUCCGAAACUGCAUUCGAUACUGCGGUGCUUGAGGACUGGAGAGGAGACUGGAAUUCAUGGUGUAGCAGUGAAAUGCGUAGAUAUCGUAAGGAAGACCAGUGGCGAAGGCGGGUCUCUGGACAGUUCCUGACGCUGAGGCACGAAGGUCAGGGGAGCAAACGGG